RNAcentral lists this ribosomal RNA (451 nucleotides) under uncultured Anaerolineaceae bacterium. RNAcentral describes it as "bacterial SSU rRNA". It matches the Rfam family "Bacterial small subunit ribosomal RNA", at positions 920 to 1382 of the family's 1533-position model. The record is from RNAcentral. Lineage: Bacteria; Bacillati; Chloroflexota; Anaerolineae; Anaerolineales; Anaerolineaceae.
CCCGCACAAGCGGUGGAGCAUGUGGUUUAAUUCGAUGCAACGCGAAGAACCUUACCUGGGCUUGACAUCCCGGGAAUCCCCUGGAAACAGGGGAGUGCCCUUCGGGGAACCCGGUGACAGGUGUUGCAUGGCUGUCGUCAGCUCGUGUCGUGAGAUGUUCGGUUAAGUCCGCUAACGAGCGCAACCCUCGUCGUAUGUUAUAUGUGUCAUACGAGACUGCCGGUAAAAAGCCGGAGGAAGGUGAGGAUGAUGUCAAGUCAGCAUGACCUUUAUAUCCAGGGCUACACACACGCUACAAUGGUCUGUACAAUGGGUAGCCAAGCCGCGAGGCGGAGCCAAUCCUGAAAGCAGGCCUCAGUUCAGAUUGCAGUCUGCAACUCGACUGCAUGAAGCCGGAGUUGCUAGUAACCGCAGGUCAGCAAUACUGCGGUCGAAUACGUUCCCGGGCCUU